RNAcentral lists this ribosomal RNA (1164 nucleotides) under Chroococcidium sp. AL8. RNAcentral describes it as "bacterial SSU rRNA". It matches the Rfam family "Bacterial small subunit ribosomal RNA", at positions 39 to 1246 of the family's 1533-position model. Lineage: Bacteria; Bacillati; Cyanobacteriota; Cyanophyceae; Pleurocapsales; Pleurocapsaceae. The record is from RNAcentral.
GCGGCAUGCCUAACACAUGCAAGUCGAACGAUGUCUUCGGGACAUAGUGGCGGACGGGUGAGUAACGCGUGAGAAUCUGCCUUCAGGAUGGGGACAACAGUUGGAAACGACUGCUAAUACCCAAUGAGCCGAGAGGUAAAAGUUAUAUCGCCUGAAGAGGAGCUCGCGUCCGAUUAGCUAGUUGGUGAGGUAAGAGCUUACCAAGGCAACGAUCGGUAGCUGGUCUGAGAGGAUGAGCAGCCACACUGGGACUGAGACACGGCCCAGACUCCUACGGGAGGCAGCAGUGGGGAAUUUUCCGCAAUGGGCGAAAGCCUGACGGAGCAAUACCGCGUGAGGGAGGAAGGCUUUUGGGUUGUAAACCUCUUUUUUCAAGGAAGAAGCAAGUGACGGUACUUGAAGAAUCAGCAUCGGCUAACUCCGUGCCAGCAGCCGCGGUAAUACGGAGGAUGCAAGCGUUAUCCGGAAUUAUUGGGCGUAAAGCGUCCGCAGGUGGUUGAUCAAGUCUGCUGUCAAAGACAGAAGCUUAACUUCUGGCAGGCAGUGGAAACUGGUAGACUAGAGUACGGUAGGGGUUGAGGGAAUUCCCAGUGUAGCGGUGAAAUGCGUAGAUAUUGGGAAGAACACCAGUGGCGAAGGCGCUCAACUGGGCCGUAACUGACACUGAGGGACGAAAGCUAGGGGAGCGAAAGGGAUUAGAUACCCCUGUAGUCCUAGCUGUAAACGAUGAACACUAGGCGUUGCUUGUAUCGACCCGAGCAGUGCCGUAGCCAACGCGUUAAGUGUUCCGCCUGGGGAGUACGCACGCAAGUGUGAAACUCAAAGGAAUUGACGGGGGCCCGCACAAGCGGUGGAGUAUGUGGUUUAAUUCGAUGCAACGCGAAGAACCUUACCAGGACUUGACAGUUCGCGAAUCUGGGGGAAACUUCAGAGUGCCUUAGGGAGCGCGGAAACAGGUGGUGCAUGGCUGUCGUCAGCUCGUGUCGUGAGAUGUUGGGUUAAGUCCCGCAACGAGCGCAACCCUCGUUCUUAGUUGCCAGCAUUAAGUUGGGCACUUUAGAGACUGCCGUGACAAACCGAAGGAAGGUGGGGAUGACGUCAAGUCAGCAUGCCCGUUACGUCCUGGGCUACACACGUACCUACAAUUGCUUGGGGAACAAACGG